GACGAACGCUGGCGGCGUGCUUAACACAUGCAAGUCGAACGGUGAAGGGACCGGUUUUUGCUGGUUCUGGAUGAGUGGCGAACGGGUGAGUAACACGUGAGUAACCUGCCCCCUUCUUCUGGAUAACCGCAUGAAAGUGUGGCUAAUACGGGAUAUUCUGCGCCUGCUGCAUGGUGGGUGUGGGAAAGAUAUUGUUUCGGUGGGGGAUGGGCUCGCGGCCUAUCAGCUUGUUGGUGGGGUGAUGGCCUACCAAGGCGGUGACGGGUAGCCGGCCUGAGAGGGUGGACGGUCACACUGGGACUGAGACACGGCCCAGACUCCUAAGGGAGGCAGCAGUGGGGAAUAGUGCACAAUGGGCGCAAGCCUGAUGCAGCGACGCCGCGUGAGGGAUGGAGGCCUUCGGGUUGUAAACCUCUUUCGCCAGUGAAGCAGGCCUGUCCCUUGUGUGGGUGGGUUGACGGUAGCUGGAUAAGAAGCGCCGGCUAACUACGUG
This 493-nucleotide ribosomal RNA is filed under the name uncultured bacterium. RNAcentral's name for it is "partial 16S ribosomal RNA". It matches the Rfam family "Bacterial small subunit ribosomal RNA", at positions 28 to 507 of the family's 1533-position model. The record is from RNAcentral.